UCUUUGUAGUAAUUAUUUUUAAUUAUUUUAAAUAAUUAUAAUUUUUUAAAAAUUAACUUAAAAUUAUUAUUUUUAAUAACAGUUAUUACUUUCUGCAGAAUAAUUAUUAGGUCAAAGGAAUGGAAUGGUUUUACAAGAAUGUUUCUUCAUACCUUCAGAAAAAUUUUGUUGUCCUGAACUUGGCUGACUUAUCAACAGAUUUUAAAAUGAUUUUAUUACUAUCGUUAUUAUACCAAUACAGUGGACCAUGGACAGCAUCCUUGUCAGUUUAACUGACAUUCCACAGCAUUAGAAUCAAGAGAUAACCUAGGAGUCAUACAGUCUAGCUCCCUAAUUUUAUAGGUGAGGAGACUUAAGGCCUCAGGGGGGAAUUGACGUGGCCUCAGAAGAGUCAUACAGCUCACUGCCAGUUAACCUUGUUCCUUUCUGUCUCAGUGCCUGCAAGAAGGGUGUGGGUCAGGCUGGUGUGAGAUGGGACCUUGUAGGUAGGUCAUAGUAAAUAAGGGGUUUUUUGGGGAAGAUGAAAAAGUCCUGGAGAUGGAUGGUACUGAUGGUGAUACAACAGUGUGAAUACACUUAAUGCCACAGAACUGUACACGUAAAAAUGGUCAGUUUUAUGUUAUGUAUAUUUUACCACAAUUAAAAAAAAAAAA
Molecule: long non-coding RNA, 653 nt
Organism: Ailuropoda melanoleuca (giant panda)
Lineage: Eukaryota; Metazoa; Chordata; Mammalia; Carnivora; Ursidae
Exons: 2
Source: RefSeq, a predicted model, not a curated record